CGAAAGGGACAGUGACAGAGUGAAGACUGAGGGAUGCAAACUGGCGAGGGCCCAAAAAAGGUGAGGUACAAUUCAAGAUGUCAACUGACCAGAGAAACAGUCAAUGACUACAUAAACUGCCAAUUUAGUACAACUGUACAUCAUGUCUUGCCUGUUCUAUGUCUUGAACAUAAAAUACCCGAAGGAGGCAUCGUUCACCCUGGGUCUACCUGCUGGUUAUACAGUAGCUCUGUUUGAGAAUCCCUGAGGCCAUCGCAUCUGAAUCCACUAAAGCUACACGCUUGAGCACCGUUUGCCAAACGUCAUUCCACAACUAUUUCCAUGUCUUCCAAUUUACAUUAUAGGUGUGUGUGUGUGUGUGUGUGUGUGUGUGUGUGUGUGUGUGUGUGUGUGUGUGUGUGUGUGUGUGUGUGUGUGUGUGUGUGUGUGUGUGUGUGUGUGUGUGUGUGUGUGUGUUGUUUCCGCUGGAGCACCGGUGCCGAGACAGAAACAAAUAUAUACACACACACACACUAUACAAACACACACACACACACACUAGAGAAACACAGAGAGAGAGAGAGACACUCACAAAUACACACACACACACUCAGGGACAUUAUGUUAUGUUCAAUCUGCUGUUGAACUACUAAAGAGAAUGCUGAACAUGGAAUCUAAAUGCAUGAUCACAAGCUGCCUCUGGGCCUUAGCUGCAAGCAGGCUGGCUAUGCAGUAUUUCUGUGUGCAUUGAUGCUACUAGCAAUGCAUUUCCAAUGAGACGUGGCCUUUGUGGCACAACAGACACAGAAAGAAACUAGCUAGCACCGAUAGUACGACUGUUAAUAAGUGUUCAUAUGUCCUGAUAACGAGACUACACAUCCUGCUGGGGCACCAGGACUCUCCUGGAGAAAAAAAAGGAAUAAGUUCUAGUGACCGGUUGGGAUCCACCGUAACCAUGAAACACAUGGAGAUAAGAUUUAAAUAGGAUGAACAUUAGGAAUAGGUAGAAUGGAAAUUAAUAAAAAAUGAUGUCGGCCACCCACUGAAGGGGUCAGGGUGGAAUAGAUUCCACUGAAGGGGUCAGGGUGGAAUAGAUUCCAAUAAAGGGGUCAGGGUGGAAUAGAUUCCACUAAAGGGGUCAGGGUGGAAUAGAUUCCACUAAAGGGGUCAGGGUGGAAUAGAUUCCAAUAAAGGGGUCAGGGUGGAAUAGAUUCCACUAAAGGGGUCAGGGUGGAAUAGAUUCCAAUAAAGGGGUCAGGGUGGAAUAGAUUCCACUAAAGGGGUCAGGGUGGAAUAGAUUCCACUAAAGGGGUCAGGGUGGAAUAGAUUCCGCUAAAGGGGUCAGGGUGGAAUAGAUUCCACUAAAGGGGUCAGGGUGGAAUAGAUUCCAAUAAAGGGGUCAGGGUGGAAUAGAUUCCAAUAAAGGGGUCAGGGUGGAAUAGAUUCCACUAAAGGGGUCAGGGUGGAAUAGAUUCCACUAAAGGGGUCAGGGUGGAAUAGAUUCCACUAAAGGGGGUCAGGGUGGAAUAGAUUCCACUAAAGGGGUCAGGGUGGAAUAGAUUCCACUAAAGGGGUCAGGGUGGAAUAGAUUCCACUAAAGGGGGUCAGGGUGGAAUAGAUUCCACUAAAGGGGUCAGGAUGGAAUAGAUUCCACUAAAGGGGUCAGGGUGGAAUAGAUUCCACUAAAGGGGUCAGGGUGGAAUAGAUUCCAAUAAAGGGGUCAGGGUGGAAUAGAUUCCAAUAAAGGGGUCAGGGUGGAAUAGAUUCCACUAAAGGGGUCAGGGUGGAAUAGAUUCCACUAAAGGGGUCAGGGUGGAAUAGAUUCCACUAAAGGGGUCAGGGUGGAAUAGAUUCCACUAAAGGGG
RNAcentral lists this long non-coding RNA (1844 nucleotides) under Salmo salar (Atlantic salmon). Its description in RNAcentral is "lncRNA (ENSSSAG00000089718.1)". The record is from RNAcentral. Lineage: Eukaryota; Metazoa; Chordata; Actinopteri; Salmoniformes; Salmonidae.